This is a long non-coding RNA of Nothoprocta perdicaria, 1452 nucleotides long. RefSeq lists it as uncharacterized. The transcript has 6 exons. The record is from RefSeq and is a predicted model, not a curated record. Lineage: Eukaryota; Metazoa; Chordata; Aves; Tinamiformes; Tinamidae.
CUCAGAUCCACCUGAAGGAUCAAAAAUGUCCUCAAGUCCUUAGACAGAUGACUCGGAAAUACUUGAAAUGUGUUUCAUUUUAUGACUAUUUGCAGAACUGGAGAGAAUGCUGAAUAAUUUGCCUCAUUUAAAAAUGAUGGACCUGUCUGCUACCUAAAUACAGUAAGCUUAAAUGGGAUUGAUGGGCCAUAAAUAUUGUGAUGACCUUCUGAUACAUCAGGAGGAGAGAAAAGUUUGUUCUCUUUACUGCUUGGGCUAUGAUUUAACUUUGCUGUGGCUCCUGAUGACCUGCCAGACUGAGAAAAAGGAAGAGAGCUACUUUAGAAAUGUACAGGUGACUUUCAUCUGAGUGGCACUGCGAAGACAAGAGACAACUCUAACUGCUUUCAUGAUAUCAAGUUCAAGAAAACAUCCCUGUGUUUCUGGUAUUGAAUUUCUGAACAGAGACUGGAAUAAAACAGACAAACUGGAUUCCACCCUCUGGACCUUUAUUUGCUGAGGUCCAGUUGAGAACAGGACUUUGUGAGCAAUGUAAGACUUGAAAGGGUCUUCUGCCUUGCUGAGCCCAAUCCAGUGCUGCUACAGGAAGCUGUCAUUAACAUGAUGUGUCAAAGUGAAGUGAUCCCUGUAGAUGGCCUGAGUGAACAGCUUCAUACUGCUGGGAAGAGAAAAGUUUAACUCCUUCGCAAGCUUGGUGGAUUAGUUGUGACCUGGGAAGGAAAGCUGCUGGUGAUGAGAGAAAAAGCAACAAUAUAAAACGCAAAGCAGAACCUAGCCAGAAACUAACUGAAAUUUAAUAUUUUAGAUAUGAUGAAUAGGUUUGUGUGCCUGACUGUUGUUGUCAUUUCAGGUACCUUAGAAUGUAGCAUCAUAUAGGUUKUAUGUUUAUGAAGGUGAUCAUCCUUUAUAUGGUUCACAGACAUCCGAAUCACAUCUGUACAAUCAUGUGCAUUGCAGAUGUGUAUGAUGAUGCAUCUACACCUUUCACGUGAACUACGGCUAACCAUUUUUAUUAUUAUUAUUAUUUUUAACAGAAAAUCAGAAUCUAGUCUGUAAAAUACUUCAGAUUUAUUCAUAUCAUGCAGUGAUGACGGGAAACAAUCUGAAGUGAUCCAAGAAAUGUGAGCGUAAGUUAUUUAAGCUGCAUUGCUUUGUUUUUACUUUUUGGGGAAUGUGGAGCACUGUAGACAGAAUUUAUGCUUCAACUUAAAAAGAUUCCAAAAAGAAAACAGUUCUGUAAGGUGAUAUAAUCAGACACAUGCUGCAAACAAGGCACUUUGUUCCUCAUGUGAGAACAUGAAGAAAAGUGGUGUAGAGCUUAAAUUAAAGCCUUUGUACCUGUAACAGCACUGGCAGUUCAGUGUCAUUCAAAUUCAGUGCUUAAAAAAUUAAUUUCUAAGCUGAAGAGAACCUGCCAGUCUCAACUUAAGUUCAUGGUCAGGUGUCUUGGUU